CUAUUUGUGGUCUAAAGAGGACCCCUGGACUGGAGCCAAUGUAUUUUUGAAGAAGUUUCCACUUGAUCCAGAUCGGUGUCGUUCUUGGGUCAAAGCAGUUGGGAAUGAAGACUGCUUACAUACCCGU
This is a long non-coding RNA of Melitaea cinxia (Glanville fritillary), 127 nucleotides long. RefSeq lists it as uncharacterized. The transcript has 2 exons. NCBI's taxonomy places the organism in Eukaryota, Metazoa, Arthropoda, Insecta, Lepidoptera, Nymphalidae. The record is from RefSeq and is a predicted model, not a curated record.